Molecule: long non-coding RNA, 153 nt
Organism: Thalassophryne amazonica
Lineage: Eukaryota; Metazoa; Chordata; Actinopteri; Batrachoidiformes; Batrachoididae
Exons: 3
Source: RefSeq, a predicted model, not a curated record
GUGAUGAAAAAGUGAUGCGAGUAGAAAAUGAGUGUACAGUACAUGAUCUGUCAACACAGCACCUCAGAAUGUCAUGAGUGAAGGUUGUGAUGUCACACGGCACCGCAGUGACGUUGGGGUGGAUUUACUACCAGUGUGUGUGUGUGUGUGUGU